Xyrichtys novacula (pearly razorfish) is the source of this 514-nucleotide non-coding RNA. Lineage: Eukaryota; Metazoa; Chordata; Actinopteri; Labriformes; Labridae. The record is from the annotation of a GenBank genome assembly.
AAAAAAAAAUCAACAAAUGUUUUUUUUCCUGUAAAUACAGCGGUGAAGUUAGUUUCAGGUUGGAUAUAUUUUCCUGUAAAUACAGCGGUGAAGUUAGUUUUAGGUUGGAUAUAUUUUCCUGUAAAUACGGCGGUGAAGUUAGUUUCAGGUUGGAUAUAUUUUCCUGUAAAUACGGCGGUGAAGUUAGUUUUAGGUUGGAUAUAUUUUCCUGUAAAUACGGCGGUGAAGUUAGUUUUAGGUUGGAUAUAUUUUCCUGUAAAUACAGCGGUGAAGUUAGUUUCAGGUUGGAUAUAUUUUCCUGUAAAUACGGCGGUGAAGUUAGUUUUAGGUUGGAUAUAUUUUCCUGUAAAUACGGCGGUGAAGUUAGUUUUAGGUUGGAUAUAUUUUCCUGUAAAUACGGCGGUGAAGUUAGUUUUAGGUUGGAUAUAUUUUCCUGUAAAUACGCAGUGAAGUUAGUUUUAGGUUGGAUAUAUUUUCCUGUAAAUACGGCGGUGAAGUUAGUUUCAGGUUGGAU